This 1529-nucleotide ribosomal RNA is filed under the name Bacteroides fragilis. RNAcentral's name for it is "bacterial SSU rRNA". It matches the Rfam family "Bacterial small subunit ribosomal RNA". Lineage: Bacteria; Pseudomonadati; Bacteroidota; Bacteroidia; Bacteroidales; Bacteroidaceae. RNAcentral also lists the same sequence under 1 other name. The record is from RNAcentral.
ACAAUGAAGAGUUUGAUCCUGGCUCAGGAUGAACGCUAGCUACAGGCUUAACACAUGCAAGUCGAGGGGCAUCAGGAAGAAAGCUUGCUUUCUUUGCUGGCGACCGGCGCACGGGUGAGUAACACGUAUCCAACCUGCCCUUUACUCGGGGAUAGCCUUUCGAAAGAAAGAUUAAUACCCGAUGGCAUAAUGAUUCCGCAUGGUUUCAUUAUUAAAGGAUUCCGGUAAAGGAUGGGGAUGCGUUCCAUUAGGUUGUUGGUGAGGUAACGGCUCACCAAGCCUUCGAUGGAUAGGGGUUCUGAGAGGAAGGUCCCCCACAUUGGAACUGAGACACGGUCCAAACUCCUACGGGAGGCAGCAGUGAGGAAUAUUGGUCAAUGGGCGCUAGCCUGAACCAGCCAAGUAGCGUGAAGGAUGAAGGCUCUAUGGGUCGUAAACUUCUUUUAUAUAAGAAUAAAGUGCAGUAUGUAUACUGUUUUGUAUGUAUUAUAUGAAUAAGGAUCGGCUAACUCCGUGCCAGCAGCCGCGGUAAUACGGAGGAUCCGAGCGUUAUCCGGAUUUAUUGGGUUUAAAGGGAGCGUAGGUGGACUGGUAAGUCAGUUGUGAAAGUUUGCGGCUCAACCGUAAAAUUGCAGUUGAUACUGUCAGUCUUGAGUACAGUAGAGGUGGGCGGAAUUCGUGGUGUAGCGGUGAAAUGCUUAGAUAUCACGAAGAACUCCGAUUGCGAAGGCAGCUCACUGGACUGCAACUGACACUGAUGCUCGAAAGUGUGGGUAUCAAACAGGAUUAGAUACCCUGGUAGUCCACACAGUAAACGAUGAAUACUCGCUGUUUGCGAUAUACAGUAAGCGGCCAAGCGAAAGCAUUAAGUAUUCCACCUGGGGAGUACGCCGGCAACGGUGAAACUCAAAGGAAUUGACGGGGGCCCGCACAAGCGGAGGAACAUGUGGUUUAAUUCGAUGAUACGCGAGGAACCUUACCCGGGCUUAAAUUGCAGUGGAAUGAUGUGGAAACAUGUCAGUGAGCAAUCACCGCUGUGAAGGUGCUGCAUGGUUGUCGUCAGCUCGUGCCGUGAGGUGUCGGCUUAAGUGCCAUAACGAGCGCAACCCUUAUCUUCAGUUACUAACAGGUCAUGCUGAGGACUCUGGAGAGACUGCCGUCGUAAGAUGUGAGGAAGGUGGGGAUGACGUCAAAUCAGCACGGCCCUUACGUCCGGGGCUACACACGUGUUACAAUGGGGGGUACAGAAGGCAGCUAGCGGGUGACCGUAUGCUAAUCCCAAAAGCCUCUCUCAGUUCGGAUCGAAGUCUGCAACCCGACUUCGUGAAGCUGGAUUCGCUAGUAAUCGCGCAUCAGCCACGGCGCGGUGAAUACGUUCCCGGGCCUUGUACACACCGCCCGUCAAGCCAUGGGAGCCGGGGGUACCUGAAGUACGUAACCGCAAGGAUCGUCCUAGGGUAAAACUGGUGACUGGGGCUAAGUCGUAACAAGGUAGCCGUACCGGAAGGUGCGGCUGGAACACCUCCUUU